This 569-nucleotide long non-coding RNA is filed under the name Ananas comosus (pineapple). RNAcentral describes it as "long non-coding RNA (ACOM_LNC010963)". The record is from RNAcentral. Lineage: Eukaryota; Viridiplantae; Streptophyta; Magnoliopsida; Poales; Bromeliaceae.
CUAGGCUACUAUACUAUCUAUAGUACCGAGCUCCGGUACUAUAGUGUUUGUUUUCGAUCUUAGGGCGUUCAAAUCAACGAUCCACACCGUUAAAACUGAUCUAGAGUAUUUAAAGUUUCUAUAAAUAAAAUUUUAUAUUUUUUCGAAAUAGUUUACUUUAUUAUCAAACUAUUUCAAAAUUAUCAAUUUUCAAUGGCUAUUAUGACGAGUUUGGAAUUUAACGGUGUAGAAGAAUCUAAAUUUCUUCAAAUUUUGAUAGAAAAUACUUUAAACUAUAUAAAUCAAGGUUAACAUUCUUGAUCUUGAAUUUAAAAGUCCUAUACUCAAAUUUUAAAGAUUAUUCAAUUUUCACCGUCCAUUUUGAUAUAAUUUAUUUACUAAGUAAACGAUAUCGAAAAACACUAAAAUUUUAUUCCUAAGAAAUUCAUAUACCCUAGAUCAUAUUUAACGGUGCGAAUCGUUAAUUUGAAUGUCCUAAGAUCGAAAACAAACACUAUAAUACCGAAGCUCGGUACUAUAGAUAGUAUAGUAGCAUAUAUAUAUAUAUAUAUAUAUAUAGAAAAGCCAUA